RNAcentral lists this ribosomal RNA (402 nucleotides) under uncultured bacterium. Its description in RNAcentral is "bacterial SSU rRNA". It matches the Rfam family "Bacterial small subunit ribosomal RNA", at positions 355 to 774 of the family's 1533-position model. The record is from RNAcentral.
UGGGGAAUCUUGCACAAUGGGGGAAACCCUGAUGCAGCGAUGCCGCGUGAACGAUGAAGCCCUUCGGGGUGUAAAGUUCUUUCGACAGGAACGAUAAUGACGGUACCUGGAGAAGAAGCUGCGGCUAACUACGUGCCAGCAGCCGCGGUAAUACGUAGGCAGCGAGCGUUGUUCGGAGUUACUGGGCGUAAAGAGUGCGUAGGCGGCGAGCCAAGUUUGGUGUGAAAUCUCCCGGCUUAACCGGGAGGGUGCGCCGAAAACUGGUUGGCUGGAGUAUGGGAGAGGAAAGCGGAAUUCCUGGUGUAGCGGUGAAAUGCGUAGAUAUCAGGAGGAACACCUGCGGUGUAGACAGCUUUCUGGACCAAAACUGACGCUGAGGCACGAAAGCGUGGGUAGCAAACA